This 443-nucleotide long non-coding RNA is filed under the name Physcomitrium patens. Its description in RNAcentral is "long non-coding RNA (PPAT_LNC001584)". Lineage: Eukaryota; Viridiplantae; Streptophyta; Bryopsida; Funariales; Funariaceae. The record is from RNAcentral.
UCAAAUCCUAAUAUAACCUUCAAUAAAUCUUAAUGAAAUCUUAAACCAAUCUUAAUGAAAUCUUAAACUCUAGAUAAAUCCUAAACAAAUCCUAAAUCCUAAUCCUAAGCCAAAUCUUAAUUAAAUUUUAAACUCUAAACCUAGAUCAAAUAUCAAUGAAACUUUAAAUCCUAAUCAAAUCCUAUAAAAUAUUAAAUAAAUCUUAAUCAAACUCUAGACAAAUCCUAUUCAAAUUCUAAAAAAAAUCCUAAAUCCUAAUCUUAAACUAAAUCCUAAUAAAACCUUAAAUCCUAAAUAAUUUCGAAUAAAUUUUAAUCAACUAAAUUUAAUUCAACUAUAGCUAUUUGAAACCUCAAUAAAUAUUAAUUGAAUUUUAGAUCUUAAUUAAAAUUUUAUCCAAAAUUCAACUAAUAAUAGAUUAACAAACACACAAAAUUUGAGAA